GGUCCUACGGGAGGCAGCAGUCGGGAAUAUUGCGCAAUGGAGGAAACUCUGACGCAGUGACGCCGCGUAUAGGAAGAAGUUUUUCGGAAUGUAAACUAUUGUCGUUAGGGAAGAGAAAGGACAGUACCUAAGGAGGAAGCACCGGCUAACUCCGUGCCAGCAGCCGCGGUAAUACGGAGGGUGCGAGCGUUAAUCGGAAUUACUGGGCGUAAAGCGCUCGUAGGCGGUAUGUCAAGUCAAGGGUGAAAUCCCCGCGCUCAACGUGGGAACUGCCUUUGAAACUGGCAAACUGGAGUGUGUGAGAG
Molecule: ribosomal RNA, 305 nt
Filed under: uncultured bacterium
Lineage: Bacteria
Description: bacterial SSU rRNA
Rfam family: Bacterial small subunit ribosomal RNA
Source: RNAcentral